Molecule: ribosomal RNA, 693 nt
Filed under: uncultured bacterium
Lineage: Bacteria
Description: bacterial SSU rRNA
Rfam family: Bacterial small subunit ribosomal RNA
Source: RNAcentral
AACGCUAGCUACAGGCUUAACACAUGCAAGUCGAGGGGCAGCAUGAACUUAGCUUGCUAAGUUUGAUGGCGACCGGCGCACGGGUGAGUAACACGUAUCCAACCUGCCGAUGACUCGGGGAUAGCCUUUCGAAAGAGAGAUUAAUACCCGAUGGCAUAGUUCUUCCGCAUGGUAGAACUAUUAAAGAAUUUCGGUCAUCGAUGGGGAUGCGUUCCAUUAGGUUGUUGGCGGGGUAACGGCCCACCAAGCCUUCGAUGGAUAGGGGUUCUGAGAGGAAGGUCCCCCACAUUGGAACUGAGACACGGUCCAAACUCCUACGGGAGGCAGCAGUGAGGAAUAUUGGUCAAUGGACGAGAGUCUGAACCAGCCAAGUAGCGUGAAGGAUGACUGCCCUAUGGGUUGUAAACUUCUUUUAUACGGGAAUAAAGUGAGGCACGUGUGCCUUUUUGUAUGUACCGUAUGAAUAAGGAUCGGCUAACUCCGUGCCAGCAGCCGCGGUAAUACGGAGGAUCCGAGCGUUAUCCGGAUUUAUUGGGUUUAAAGGGAGCGUAGGCGGACGCUUAAGUCAGUUGUGAAAGUUUGCGGCUCAACCGUAAAAUUGCAGUUGAUACUGGGUGUCUUGAGUACAGUAGAGGCAGGCGGAAUUCGUGGUGUAGCGGUGAAAUGCUUAGAUAUCACGAAGAACUCCGAUUG